This is a long non-coding RNA of Amphimedon queenslandica, 78 nucleotides long. RefSeq lists it as uncharacterized. NCBI's taxonomy places the organism in Eukaryota, Metazoa, Porifera, Demospongiae, Haplosclerida, Niphatidae. The transcript is spliced from 2 exons. The record is from RefSeq and is a predicted model, not a curated record.
AGGUACUGUUGCUACUGCUACUGUAACUGAUGCAAUUGAUACAGAAAGUACUGUUGCUGUAACUGAUGAAAUUGAUAC